Molecule: ribosomal RNA, 468 nt
Filed under: uncultured bacterium
Lineage: Bacteria
Description: partial 16S ribosomal RNA
Rfam family: Bacterial small subunit ribosomal RNA
Source: RNAcentral
GACGAACGCUGGCGGCGUGCUUAACACAUGCAAGUCGAACGGAAACGCCCUACUUUUUUGGGGUGCUCGAGUGGCGAAGGGGUGAGGAACACGUAAGUAACCGGCCCUUGACUUUGGUAUAACUUCAGGAAACUGGGGCUAAUACCGUAUCGGAGCUCCUGCUGCAUUGUGGGGGGUGGAAAGUUUCUGCGAUUGGGGAGGGACUGGCGGCUUAUCCACUUGUUGGUGGGGUGGUGCCUUACCAAGGCAUUGACAGGUACCCGGCCUGAGUGGGUGACCGACCACAUCGGGCCGCAGAUACCGCACAGACCCCUACGGGCGGAAGCAGUGGGGAACAUUCCACAAUGGUCGGACGCCUGAUGCAGCAACGCCCCGUGCGGGAUGUCGGCCUUCGGGUUGAAAACCGCUUUCGGAUAAGACGAAGCGUGACUGACGGUAAUGAGAAAAGAAGCACCGGCUAACUACGUG